RNAcentral lists this long non-coding RNA (3102 nucleotides) under Canis lupus familiaris (dog). Its description in RNAcentral is "lncRNA (ENSCAFG00845027642.1)". The record is from RNAcentral. Lineage: Eukaryota; Metazoa; Chordata; Mammalia; Carnivora; Canidae.
GGAACCGGAAGCCGCGCUCAGACCGGAAGUCACGUGGCCAGCGUGACUUUGGCGUGAGGUAGGAGAAGGGCGGAUGGCUGGGUGGGGAGCUUUUGCCUCGCGAGGUAGGAGCCGGGAUGAGAGGGAGGUUUUUAGGCCCGGAGAAGGGGCGCUGUGGUGUGGUCUGAGGGUCUCCCGGGAAGGCGGGAAAUAUGCGGAGAGGCAGAGGCAGCGCUGCCUCUGUGACGACGCUGACGCGUUCUCUCACAACCGCGGAGCCCGGAGGUGGUUCCCUCGAGGGAAGCGGUAGGCGCCCCCGUAGAGGCCUUGGCUGUGGAGCGACACCUGAGGAAGUGUGUUCACCAGCCUCCUGCUCCCGCUGCCGCUGCCGGAGGGAGAGAGAUUCAGGGCCCUGCGUGCAUGCGACGUGCCUCCUCCCUGGGGGCUCGGCUGAGCCACCGACGAUGACGUCAACACCCAGAACCCAGAAACCUUUUAUCCAGACACCCUUUCCUGCUACCAGAGAAGGAAACCGGCUGAUGUUGAUGCCAUUGGCCAGAGUGGCUUCUCCAUUGCUUCCUACCACUCAGUUCGGAGCUUUCCCAAGAGAGAAUUCACGGAGUACAGAGUCACAGGAGGACAUGUGAUUCAACGCAAGAGCCACAGACAUCAGAGAUAAUGUUUCAGAAUCCUGGAGCUGCUGUAACAAUCACCACAAACUAAGUGGCUUAAACAAUGGAAGUGUACUCUCACAGUGCUGGAGGCUGCAGGUCUGAAAUCAAGGUGUUGGUAGGGCCAUACUCCUUCUAAAGCCUCUCAGAGAGGGCCCAUUCUUGCCUCUUCUGGGGCUUGUCAUGCUCAUCUGUAAUCCCUGGCACUCCUUGGUUUGUAGACACAACACUCCACUCCGAGUCUGUCUUUAUAUGGCCAUCUUCCCUCUGUGUGUCUGUGUGUUCAAAUUUCCCUCUCCUUAAAAGGAUGCCAGUCAAUGGAUUAAUCCUAAUCCUAAUACUCAGUUAUUACCUCAUCUCAACUCCGUUACAUCUGCAAAAAAAACCCUACUUUCAAAUAAAGCCACAUUCACAGCUAUCAGGGGUUAAGAUUUGAGCAUCCUUGGGUGGGGGGGGGCACAAUUCCACCCACCACAGAUGCAGACUCCAUACUUCUAUUAAUCUACCAGAAGCCACAAAGACCCUACAUAGAACAUCUCUUUCUGAGGCCUGUGAAACCCCACCCUCCAGCAAUGUGUGCAUGAGAAUAGAAAAGAAGUCAUCCACUUUCAUUAGACGCCUGGCAGAAGGGAGCUAGUAGCUAGCGUGCCCUCCUUUUACCUCUCCCCAUGGAGCAGCCUCGCUGUUCUGCAGAGUGGCUCUCAUGGGCCACGACGGAAGGCUGGGCACUGAAGCCUGGGCAGCUGCUCACUUAAAUUCCUGAGCCACACAGAGCAAGCAGCCCGGAGUGACAGUGACUUGGGGGAUGGCCAGACUUGCUCGAAAAGCUGUCAUUUCAGAAAGGAAGGGAAAAAAAUCCUUUUUUUUUUUUUUUAAAUCGCUGAAAGUCAAAGAUUUAAAAACUUGGCUAUGACCAUGAAAUGUCUGAAGUAGAGCUGGUCUGUAAAGAUAAGUCUCUUAAACCAGCAGGCAUUCCAACAGGCCGUUGGCAGCAGCUGAGCUACCAUUGGCUUGCUUGGAAGAAGCGUGGAAUCACAUGGCCCUUGCUGGUUCCGGAGCAGGGGCAUAGAGAGGAGGAAGGAGAAAAAAGGUAGGGAGUGGAUGGAAACAUUUUCUAAAGGUGGUUUCGUCCUCUCCCGGGGCUUCCUGAUGCUCAGGAGAGGAGAGUUUAGGGACCUGCCGAAUAUCUAUCUAAUACGGAAAAACAGCCUCAGACAUACCAUCUUGUAACUGGAGCCACACAAACCUCUACUUCUGAAUGUUCCCAUGGCAAAGACACAGAUUUUCACAACAUUCCAAGAAAAUCCUGAAAUUGAGUCCUGUAGAUGGCUUGGAAUUUUUUUGGCCAGGGAAAUAAUAUUCCACGCAUCAGAGGUGCAUCUGUGUGGGCAGAUGUCUUGCAACCAAUGGAGAGAGCCCCAAAGCUGGUGGUCACUGCUGGGGGUGGGGGUUGGAAUGCAGGCAGGAGAGCAAAGUGCCUCUGCUGCAGAGAUACUGCUGGGCUGGGUGAUGCCAGAGAUGGGGAGCAACAGGGUAAGGAUUCAGGAAUGUAUUUCUCUUCCCCAUCCCCACUCCUUGCUUCUCAAUGGAAAUGGCAGCAUUGUCAUGAUUUCCCAACUAAAAAUCAUGGAGAAUAUUUAGUGUCUUAUGCAUGAAGGCCAGUGGCCAGUAUUAUGCCCGUAGGCAUUGGAAUUUUAUAUCAACAGCAAAAUCUCAUCUAAAAAAAAACUUGUAUAUCAAAUCAUUAUAGGAAAUUUAUUCAUGUCAUAACUUUAAAAAUAAAGACCUGGUCCUCCCAGCAGAAUCUUUGCACCCCUCAUUAUGGAUUAAACUGAUGCCCAAACUGAGAAAGUGGCAGGCUCACUGGCACCUAUGCUUAUUAUAAAAUCCAUCUUCUUUUCAUGUCCAAUAUAAUCAAGGCAGCCACACCCCACACUCAGCCAAUCUGGCCUUUCUUUCCCCAAUUCCAGACCCCACUUUAUGUGAGAAUAUAUAUAAUCACCCUGGUGGGCUUGGAGCCUGUCUUGAAAUAAAACAUCAGAACCACAGGGGAGAGACUCAAACCCAAAUUGUGCAUCCUGACUUGGCACACAUAUCCUUCCUUGUCUUCACUUGUUAAUUUGGGGAGGCACUGAGAGCUCCCCAGGAUGGGCGAGGGUUUUGCAAACAUUCCUGCCCCAAGCCCUGCAAAGGCCUGACGACCAGAGCCCAGAGCUCUCCUGGCUCCUACCCUAGCCCCUCUGGAGACAGAAGGACAGCCCUGCCCAUUCAGGCUGCCUCCAUUCUCACAAACUCCAUGCAACAGCAUCUGGAGGACAAUGUGAUAUAUGGCGUCUUUUCAGAGAACAGGAUGCAGAUGCGCGGGGGAGGGUAACCCGAGAACAGUGCAAGAAGAUGCUUCUGUCCCCGGAGUUCAACGCAUAAAUUACAAACCACAAUUUCAAAUUGGAAG